Molecule: long non-coding RNA, 402 nt
Filed under: Dasypus novemcinctus (nine-banded armadillo)
Lineage: Eukaryota; Metazoa; Chordata; Mammalia; Cingulata; Dasypodidae
Description: lncRNA (ENSDNOG00000052851.1)
Source: RNAcentral
CUGUCCUGUGCCCCCGAGGGCUGCCAGAGAGUAAGGAUUCUUUUUUGCUUGUUUCAGGGUUCAUAGUGGCGUAAUGCGCGCAGACUCCUGCGAGUUCCCCUAAGUUCUUAGAGGACUGCUUUGCCUUUUGAAUCAGAGAGUUGCAAAGUUCGAUAAAGAAUGGCCCUUGUGGAUAAGCACAAAGUCAAGCGACAGCGAUUGGACAGAAUUUGUGAAGCUUCCGGACUUUAUCUGCUUCGAAUUAUGAUAUUUACAACAAUGAAUUCUGAGACAUUCCUGAAGAGCCCAGCAUUACCCCUUGUGAUGUGUACAGGUCCCUGGUAUCUUUGAAAAUGUCUGGAAGUGUUUUAUUCAUGAAAGGAAAGAUAAACAUAAUUAAAAUCUAAUGGAAACCUGGGGCCA